AGUAGAUUGAUCUCAGCAGGAAUGAUAUUAAGAGGCCUAGUUUUAGAAUCAAAUUUCUAUCGGGGAGGAUAAUGCAGAGGGGAAGGAAGAGACAAUUGAUUAAACAACCCAGGAAAUUUUGGAUGUGACUCCAAAUACCUGAAAACCAAAUUCAGUGGAAAGGCAACUCCUGUUCCAGUUACUCCAUCAUGGCUUGAAGCAGAAAAGGAAUUUUCAGUUUGGAAAAUAUAAAUUACUUGAGAAGAUCCUCAAACUGCCAUGGUUAAUCUGCAUAUUUCAGAGAUAUUUUAGGCAUAUAAAUUAUUGUUUUUGUUUUAUACAUUUCUGUGUCCACUUACUAGGGAUUACAUUGUCUUCCCAUAUGCAUGUGGAAUCAGGUAUUCAUUCCAGCUUCUUAUCUUCCACCUUUCUUCCUUAUUAGAUUUUCUUGGGCUCUAUGUUAAUCCUCAUAUUUAGCUGCAAUAAAAGUUCCCUUCUGUAUUUGAAUAGCAUGUGAAUAUUAUUCUACAAGCCUUACAACCUUUGUUUUGUAAACUCCUUUGCUACUGAAGUGUACUGCCAUUUAGCACUCUACAUAUUUGUGAGCUCUUUCUGCAUACUAGGUUUGAUUGUCUUUAAGUUUUCACUUUAUGCUACAUUUUGUUCUUGGCCAAUUGCCCUCUGAGGAGUCUUAAGUUUUGAUUCCAUCCAUGAUCAGAAGGCAGGAGCCUCAGCCUUUACUACUAAUAUUAUUCUCUUUGAAGGUCUUUAAAGUAUAAUGGAAAAAACAAGAGCACUGGAGCUGGAU
RNAcentral lists this long non-coding RNA (787 nucleotides) under Homo sapiens (human). RNAcentral describes it as "HSALNT0019768". The record is from RNAcentral. Lineage: Eukaryota; Metazoa; Chordata; Mammalia; Primates; Hominidae.